GAAGGAAGAAGGCGCAAGUCACUCGAAGGCAUAAGUAUUUCAAGAUCGCUGUAAAACUCCACUCUAGGCGAUUUGGAGAUUUGGAGCGAGCACGGGCCCAUGCUAUGUUAUACCAAAUGCUUCCGCUAGUUUUUGUUCGUCUUUAUGGUCCGUGACUUGUUAUUUUGUCCAACUUUGUUAGUAGUCGUAUUUUGCAAAAACUUGUGGUCUUUGUCUUGGGUAGUUUAAUGUCAAAAAGGGUCAUAGAUUGUUGUUAGUUUUAUGUGUUAAAAACAGGGAGGCAUGUCCGUUUUUACGAACGGGUCAUGCCCAAUUUUCCUAAGAAUUUUAUUAUGUAUCAAAGUUUGGUAA
Molecule: long non-coding RNA, 351 nt
Organism: Helianthus annuus (common sunflower)
Lineage: Eukaryota; Viridiplantae; Streptophyta; Magnoliopsida; Asterales; Asteraceae
Exons: 2
Source: RefSeq, a predicted model, not a curated record